UUGGGAAAAGAGUUCAUCUGUUGCCAACGGGCAAAAGACUUUCUCCACAGUCUGCCUGGUAUUUGGGCUUCCUCCUGAGCUAUUGAAAAGAAUAGCAACUGUUUUUUGACUGCUUAUCGUGAGGCAGAGCCUGGGCUAACCAUUUAUUGAGUUUACUCAUCUCUGUAGUCUCCACAGCGGUGUAUGAGAUAGAAGAUACAAUUUUGUACAUUCCCAGUUCAAAAAAAUGAUAAAGGUGAGAGGCGACGGAUAUGCUAAUUACCCUGAUUUGAUCAUUACACGUUGUAUACAUAUAUGGAACUAUUGCGCUGUAUCCCGGAGCCUAUGGAGAAUUUUGGUGGCAGGAGCAGUGCUGAUCUGUAAGAACGGUUGAUCAUCCCAAGAAAUACUGUAUCUGGGACUCAGAAAGCGGAGCAGUUCCUAGGAAAUGAUCUACAUACAGAAGAAACCGGGGCCCUGAAGGUUCAAGACCAAUGGAGGCAAGAAGAAAUUCUCCAAGAGCCUCAUCAUCUCACCAGCUGUCAUGAUGCCAAUCUUGUCAAUCUGUGAUUCCAGAGUAGGGCCAUAGCACAAAAGGGAGUUAACAAAGGAAUUCAAUGAUGAAAACAGCAUUUCAGAAAAUUAACUUGAUAGCAGCAUGUAGUAUGAACUAGAGGAUAUAGUAGCAAUAGGAAAAAACCCUAGAGGGAAAGUAGAAAAUAGUGUUUAUUGGGCACACACUCUAUGCCACAAAUUUGAUUUUCUUACGUAAUUUAAUCCUAAAAUAACCUCUCUUCACUCUGUAGAAGUUAUUAUUCCUAUUUUACAUAUGGGCAAAUUAAAGGGUGAUUAAAUGGCUUACCCAUGUUCUCACUGCAAAUAAGUUCAGAAUCAGGGCAGAGGCAGCCUUAAUGGAGAUGGAAGGAUGAAGCUAAGAGAUGCUGUGGAGGAGGAAGGGGAUUUGGUGACUCCACAAGAAAGUUGAAAAUGAAAGAGGAAUCAAGGCUGAUUUCAAACUCCUAAGCCAUAGUGUUAAAAGAGUAAUGCGAAUGAAAUUGGGCAAACCAGGAGAUAAAUUUGUAGGAAAGAAAGGAGUGGGUUUUUUUUAAAUGUUAACAAUAAAACUGUAAGUACUUUUUUAAAAUUCAGCAAUACAAUAUGAUAUAUAUUGAAAAGUAAAAAUCUUCUUCCUUUUCCCAUUCCCACUCCCAAAUCUUAGUGACUAUUUACUGCUUCUUGUGUAUCCUUCCUUAAAAGUUACUUUUACACAAAUAAUGAUCAUACACUACCAUUAAUAGUGUAUUUUUAAACUGGAGCUUUCCAGGUAUGCCUCAUUCUUUUUAAAAGCUGCAUAGUUUUUCACUGUACUCACUUAUCCUUAACCAAUUCGGUACUCACUUAUACUUAACCAAUUCUGUAUUGAUAAGUAUUUUGGCUGUGUUUAGUAAGAUUGUUUAUGGUGUUGUUUUUGCUACUAUUACUGCUUGCAACUACAAAA
Molecule: long non-coding RNA, 1477 nt
Organism: Cercocebus atys (sooty mangabey)
Lineage: Eukaryota; Metazoa; Chordata; Mammalia; Primates; Cercopithecidae
Exons: 4
Source: RefSeq, a predicted model, not a curated record